GACGAACGCUGGCGGCGUGCCUAACACAUGCAAGUCGAACGGAAAGGCCCUGCUUUGGUGGGCUGCUCGAGUGGCGAACGGGUGAGUCACACGUGAGUAACCUGCCCUUGACUUUGGGAUAACUUCAUGAAACUGGGGCUAAUACCGGAUAGGAGUUCCUGCUGCAUGGUGGGGGUUGGAUAGUUUCGGCGGUUGGGGAUGGACUCGCGGCUCAUCAGCUUGUUGGUGGGGUAGUGGCUUACCAAGGCUUUGACGGGUAGCAGGCCUGAGAGGGUCACCGGACCAAUUGGGCCGGAGAUACGGCCCAGACCAGUAUGGGAGGCAAGGGAGCGGAAUAUUAUACAAUGGGAGGAAGCCUGACGCAGCAAAGCCGCGUGGGGGAUGACAGGAUGCGGGUUGUAAAGCGAUGUCGCCUGUGACGAAGUGAGAGUGACAGUAAUGGGUAAAGAAGCACCGGCUAACUACGUG
RNAcentral lists this ribosomal RNA (468 nucleotides) under uncultured bacterium. RNAcentral describes it as "partial 16S ribosomal RNA". It matches the Rfam family "Bacterial small subunit ribosomal RNA", at positions 28 to 507 of the family's 1533-position model. The record is from RNAcentral.